This 403-nucleotide ribosomal RNA is filed under the name uncultured bacterium. RNAcentral describes it as "bacterial SSU rRNA". It matches the Rfam family "Bacterial small subunit ribosomal RNA", at positions 917 to 1322 of the family's 1533-position model. The record is from RNAcentral.
GGGUCCGCACAAGCGGUGGAGCAUGUGGUUUAAUUCGAUGAUACGCGAGGAACCUUACCUAGGCUAUAAUGUGAGUGAUCGGUGCUGAAAGGCACUUUUCCUUCGGGACACGAAACAAGGUGCUGCAUGGUUGUCGUCAGCUCGUGUCGUGAGAUGUUGGGUUAAGUCCCGCAACGAGCGCAACCCUUACCCUUAUUUGCCAGCGAUUCGGUCGGGAACUAUAAGGGGACUGCCGGUGAUAAACCGGAGGAAGGUGAGGACGACGUCAAGUCAUCAUGGCCCUUACGAGUAGGGCUACACACGUGCUACAAUGGGGAAUACAGACGGACGCUAAGCCGCGAGGUGGUGCUAAUCCUAGAAAGUUUCUCGUAGUCCGGAUUGGAGUCUGCAACUCGACUCCAUG